Molecule: long non-coding RNA, 417 nt
Organism: Phalaenopsis equestris
Lineage: Eukaryota; Viridiplantae; Streptophyta; Magnoliopsida; Asparagales; Orchidaceae
Exons: 3
Source: RefSeq, a predicted model, not a curated record
UCCCCGAUAAAUUCGCUUUCAGCACUAAAUCGAAGAAUUGCAAGCAAUUUCAGUCUAUUAUUUCAAGUUUUUUCUUUCGGCGGAAACCAUUUUAACUUUUCUUUUGGGGUUAAAUCCAGAUAAGGAAUCACGAGAUUGCGAUCGGGGAGCUAGACAGUCUCUCGGCCUCCCGUGCUGUAUAUCACAAAAUCGGCAAUAUUUACUUCCGCAGGAGCAUUGAGGAUGCAAAAGCAUUGGAGGAAAAGAAACUUGUGGCAAGCAAGGCUCGGUUACAGAAGCUUGAUGCAGCAGAAUUAGGUAAGAGAAUUAGAUGAUUUUUUUCCCCUGAAUGUUGAAUAGUGUUUAUAGUGUAAGAUGAAUGUGAUGGGAAGAACAUAAUGCAUGAGAAUUGGUGUGAUUUAGGGAGAAUAAAAGCAU